Molecule: ribosomal RNA, 342 nt
Filed under: Triticum aestivum (bread wheat)
Lineage: Eukaryota; Viridiplantae; Streptophyta; Magnoliopsida; Poales; Poaceae
Description: partial small subunit ribosomal RNA
Source: RNAcentral
AUGACGGCAUUGUUGAAGAAGGAUACCAAAUUCAAAUGGACGGAAGAAUGUGAGGCAAGUUUUCAAGAGUUGAAGAAACGUUUGACUACAGCCCCAGUGCUGAUUCUGCCAGAUAUACGCAAGGAUUUCCAAGUGUACUGCGAUGCUUCACGAUCAGGACUUGGAGGUGUACUUAUGCAGGACGGAAGAGCUGUUUCGUAUGCAUCCCAACAGCUUCGACCGCAUGAGUUGAAUUAUGCUACCCAUGAUUUGGAGUUAGCAGCCGUAGUGCAUGCGCUCAAGACUUGGAGACAUUAUCUAUCAGAAACCGCUGCGAUGUGUACACGGAUCAUAAGAGUUUGA